Lutra lutra (Eurasian river otter) is the source of this 397-nucleotide long non-coding RNA. RefSeq lists it as uncharacterized. NCBI's taxonomy places the organism in Eukaryota, Metazoa, Chordata, Mammalia, Carnivora, Mustelidae. The record is from RefSeq and is a predicted model, not a curated record. The transcript has 4 exons.
UCAAGGUCUGGGAUGCCUCAAGUACCGGGGCCUGGGGCAGCGAGAGCUAUGACCUGACUUGACUCCCCGGCAAGACGUGGGCAGAUGGGGGGGGGGGGUGAGGGGCCCACUGGAUGGACUCGGACACGUAACACGCGAUUUACCAUCCAAACCAUCUGCGAGCCUGCCGUUCAGUGGUGUGGUGCUCAUCUGCGCUGCAGUACGAGCGGUUUCUGGAACACCUUUGCCCUGUCCAGGGAGAAGGACAAACGAACAUGUACAGAUGCCUGCCCCCUGCCAGAGCUGCGUUGCGUGCCUCACGGACGUUAUUUCCCACGAGCCCCUUGUCUGAGAUGAGCAAACCGAGGUGCAGAGAGAGAAAGUAAAUGGUCCAAGCCUCUGGCACUAAUCUGCUUUG